Molecule: long non-coding RNA, 2137 nt
Filed under: Cyanistes caeruleus (blue tit)
Lineage: Eukaryota; Metazoa; Chordata; Aves; Passeriformes; Paridae
Description: lncRNA (ENSCCEG00000019111.1)
Source: RNAcentral
CCCAAAAACAUCCCCCAAAAAACCAAAAACCCCCCAAAAAAAUCCCCAAAAAAUCCCCAAAAAUCGCCCCCAAAAACCCCAAAAUCCCAAAAAAAUUCCCCCCAAAAAAUUAAAAAAAAAAACCACAAAAAAUCCCCAAAAAAUCCCCAAAAAUCCCCAAAUCCCCCCAAAAUCCCCCAACCCCCCCAGGUUGGGGAGGAUGAAUUUGGGGGGUCCCAACGCCCCCUCCCCCCAUUUUUUACCUGCUGGAUCAGCCCCACCAGCAGCUGCGUGAAGAAAAGCUGCAAGAAAAUUCCGGAAUUUUUAGGGAAUUUUGGGGAAUUUUGGGGAAUUUGGGGGAAUUUUGGGGUUGGUCCCAAUUUUUCCCCAAAAAAAUCUCAUUUUUUUAACCAAAAAAUCCCAAUUUCCCCCCCAAAAAUCCCAAUUUUUUACCAAAAAAUCCCAUUCUCCCCCCAAAAUCCCCCCCAAAAAAUCCCAAUUUCUCAAAAAAAAAUCCCUUUUUUUCCCAAAAAAUCCCAUUUCUGCCCAAAAAAUCCCAUUUUUUCCCCAAAAUCCCCCAAAAUUCUCAAUUUUUCCCCAAAAAAUCCCAAUUUCCCUCCAAAAAAUCCCAUUUUUUCCCCCAAAAAAUCCCAUUUUUCCCCCAAAAUCCCAAUUUUUCCUCAAGAUCCCCCCAAAAUUCUCAAUUCUUCCCCAAAAAAUCCCAUUUUUUUUUCCCAAAAAAUCCCAUUUUUUCCCCCAAAAAUCCCAUUUUUUUUCCAAAAAAUCCCAUUUUUUUUCCAAAAAUUCGCAUUUUUCCCCCAAAAUCCCAAUUUUUCCCCAAGAUCUCCCCAAAAUUCUCAAUUCUUCCCCAAAAAUCCCAAUUUCUCCCCAAAAAAUCCCAAUUUCCCUCCAAAAAAUCCCAUUUUUUCCCCAAAAAAUCCCAUUUUUUUCCCUAUAAAUCCCAAUUUUUCCCCCAAACCCCCCCCAAAAACAUCCCAAUUUUUUCCCCAGACCCCAUUUUUUUCCCAAAAUCCCCAUUUUUUCCCAAAAUCCCCAUUUUUUCCCCCAUUUUUCGGUACCAUCUCGCAGAGGCGCCGCAGCAGGAAUCGCUUCUGCCCAUUUCCCUCCAAAAAACCCAAAAAUCUCCCCAGAAAUCCCAAUUUCCCCCAAAAUCUCCCCAAAAAUCCCAAUUUCCCCCAAAAUCUCCCCCAAAUUCCCAAUUUCUGCCCAAAAUCUCCCCAAAAAUCCCAAUUUCUGCCCAAAAAAUCCCAUUUUUUUUCCAAAAAUUCCCAUUUUUUCCUCAAAAUCCCAUUUUUUCCCCAAAAUCCCAAUUUUUUCCCCAAAAUCCCAAUUUUUCCCCAAGAUCCCCCCAAAAUUCUCAAUUCUUCCCCAAAAAAAUCCCAAUUUCUGCCCAAAAAAAUCCAAUUUCUGCCCAAAAAAACCCAUUUUUUCCCCAAAAUCCCCCCAAAAUUCUCAAUUCUUCCCCAAAAAAUCCCAAUUUCCCUCCAAAAAAUCCCAUUUUUCCCCAAAAAAUCCCAUUUUUUUCCCUAUAAAUCCCAAUUUCUGCUAAAAAAAUCCCAUUUUUUCCCAAAAAAUCCCAAUUUCUCCCCAAAAAAUCCCAUUUUUUCCCCAAAAAAAUCCCAUUUUUCCCAAAAAAUCCCAUUUUUUCCCCAAAAUCUCCCCAAAAUUCUCAAUUCUUCCCAAAAAAAUCCCAAUUUCUCCCCAAAAAAAUCCAAUUUCUGCCCAAAAAAUCCCAUUUUUUCCCCAAAAAAUCCCAUUUUUUUCCCUAUAAAUCCCAAUUUCUCCCCAAAAAAUCCCAAUUUCUGCCCAAAAAAUCCCAUUUUUUCCCCAAAAAAUCCCAUUUUUUUCCCUAUAAAUCCCAAUUUUUCCCCCAAACCCCCCCCAAAAAAAUCCCAAUUUUUUACCCAUACCCCAUUUUUCCCCAAAAUCCCCAUUUUUUCCCAAAAUCCCCAUUUUUUCCCCCAUUUUUCGGUACCAUCUCGCAGAGGCGCCGCAGCAGGAAUCGCUUCCGCAGGCGGGGGGAGCGCGGGAAGUUCAGCUCGUAGCACAGGGUGGGGGCCAGCAGGAAAUAGUACAGGUCUGGGGGGAUUUGGGGGGUUUGGGGGGAUUUGGGGAAAUUUUGGGGGGAUUUGGGGAG